Molecule: unclassified non-coding RNA, 698 nt
Filed under: Hevea brasiliensis (rubber tree)
Lineage: Eukaryota; Viridiplantae; Streptophyta; Magnoliopsida; Malpighiales; Euphorbiaceae
Source: RNAcentral
ACUCACCAGAAGGAUCCCAGCACACGGAGUGGAUUGCCUUAGUAUGUCCCUGUAAUGAAUGCCGGCAAGCUUGUGUCUCAACGUCCAAUAUAGAUACAACAUUCUCAGCAGCUGCAGCAAGAUACCUCCCUAAACGGGGUUGGAAUCUCAUUUGGGCCGUACCACCCUUGAAUACUCUUGAACAACUACCAUUGUUAAUACUCCAGUAUCGUAUUUCACCAUCCCCGUCACAAGAGCAGAUGAGAUCAUCCUUACUUGGGUGGAAGUCCAGUGACAUGACAGAGGCAGAAUGCCCCGUAAAAGUGCGUAAUGAGUAACUAGGAUUGUCAGCGUCCCAAACCCUGACAGUUUUGUCAAAUGAUGAUGUUGCAAGUCGUGGCAUGCUUGGACUGAAACGCACGUCCGUAAUCAAUGAUGAAUGUUCUUCGAGGGUAGUUUUUGGCUUUAAAUUAUCCGUGUACCACAACACAGCCUUUUUAUCAUGGCCACCACUAGCAAGUAAUUUCCCAUCCGAUGAGAAGUGGCAACAAAUUACUUUGCUUGCACUCGCUCUAACAGAAGUUACUUCAGUAAAUGUAAACCCUUUGCUGACAUCCAUACGAGGCACUGUAUCUCUAGGAUCAGUGUCAUCAUGGGAUAAAAAAGAAUCAACAUUAUCCUCAAGGGAUCCAUCCUCCACAAAACGGUCCAUAUCAGCC